CUGCUGCCAAGGGCGAGUCUGUUGAGUUGAGAAGAUGCUUUCAUGGACCGGACACACAUGCACACACACACACACCGGCAGGUUUCAGCGACGUGCUCUGAGGAACAACACAGAGACAUGUUGCAAUUCCAUGGCGGCAACGCCGGCGACCACUGCUUAGCGGGGAGCAAACCAGAACCACUGGAGCUUUUGUGUCCUCCACUGAACUUGGCAAAUAUGCGAGCUAACAAUUCCGAACAGAAAACUCAUGGAUGUGGUGCGUUCACCGCUGAAAAGGGAGUCGAGACGACUCGAGCUCACGUGUCAGAGUGCGUGCAUUGAAUCUAAGGUUUAACGCAGAGGCGAAAAUCUGACGAAACUCCCGACUUCCGUCUCGACACAAAAUCUCCUAGGCGACAUUGGAGCAUCAAAUCGGUCGCUUUAAUCCCCGGCGGCAUGCAUGCCUACUGUGCACCGGGGCUCAAGGGAACACGUGGAAAGUCCACAUGACGACACAGAAAGAACGGGACAUGCCUUUUCUCGUGCACACGAGAGUUUCUGUUCGUUUUUUUUUCGGUCGAGAGGAAGCGGUGUUCGGCGCGUGAUAUUGUUUCACAGCCUUUGCAGGAAUGCUCCCGGCUGCAUCGCAGCACUUUCUCACCCCGAGACCUUCGCAAGUUGGCCACGAAGUCAGCUUUCCAGUCAACCACUUCCAGGGCUCCAGCGCUCACCCAUGACUUCCCUGCUGCUUCCUUUUCUGCCUGUCUGCAAGAAACCAACCGCCGCAUGCGUGAAGGUGUUCUAUCGUGUGGAUGUCUAUUCAGGCGUCACCGUAAGUGAAUCGUGUCUAGAACGCCUGUGAAUCCUGUGUUGGAGAAUCGCCUCUCGCUUGCGUUGCGUCUCUUAAGGAUGCCAUCUGGAUUCGCGUUGCUUUCUCGAGCGCAGCGGAUCUCCGACAGCGUCCGUUCUGUUGGGCAGAGCGGCCGGCGCGAGUCAAAGUCACCACACGAAAAAUACAGCCGUUUGAUGUGAGGCGUUGCGUUUCAAGCAUCCCCUUGACAACUCCAAGACUCCUACGGGGAACGGCAGCUUUGUUUCUGGACGAAAACCGAGAAACGCUGAAAUUCGCUUUCUUGCCGACAGAGGGCGGCCGGCUCCUGCAACAAUGGUUUCACUAAAAACAUGCACGGGAGACAGCCGGACGCCGACGCACUAACGGCACCGACAACAGAAUACACCGGUGCAUGCAGACACA
Molecule: long non-coding RNA, 1234 nt
Filed under: Toxoplasma gondii VEG
Lineage: Eukaryota; Apicomplexa; Conoidasida; Eucoccidiorida; Sarcocystidae
Source: RNAcentral